UCGGCUUGACAUCCCAAGAAUCUUGUGGAAACACGCACAAGAUUUUCGGGGUGUCCGGUGCC
This 62-nucleotide ribosomal RNA is filed under the name uncultured bacterium. RNAcentral describes it as "partial 16S ribosomal RNA". The record is from RNAcentral.